UUAAAUAUCCAGUAUUAGAGUCACAAAUUCAAACAGUAAAGUGCACCCAUUUAUAGACAUGACGUGAUGGAAACCCAUUAGUGCAAGAAUUCUGGGCAAACGGAACAUACAACCUAUAAGCUGAAGUUUGUCACCACUGUCUCCAUUUCAGGGUGAUGUGAACAGGAUGAGAGGAACUUACUGGUUUCAUAUGAAAAAUCCCCCUCCCCCUGCCCCACCUGAAGCCAGACAUUGAUUCAGCAAAUGCUGUUGGGAGAGGGGCAACUCUCAGGAAGACCAGCAACAACCUAAAGGAACACUCAAGACCUGAAGACUGCAGGGAGCUGGCAGUAGGGGAGACCAGGGCACCAGAAUGCACUGGGGCUGGCUAUCUGGAAAACACGGGGUUAGAGUGCAAAGGCAAAGGGAGCAUCACACUCUUUCUAAAGUUCCUGGAAGAAAACGAACAAGAACAUCUUAUUUUUGUAAAAAAAAAAAAAAAA
Molecule: long non-coding RNA, 482 nt
Organism: Myotis lucifugus (little brown bat)
Lineage: Eukaryota; Metazoa; Chordata; Mammalia; Chiroptera; Vespertilionidae
Exons: 2
Source: RefSeq, a predicted model, not a curated record